UAGAGUUUGAUCAUGGCUCAGGAUGAACGCUGGCGGCGUGCCUUAGGCAUGCAAGUCAAACGAAAGCUCUUCGGAGCUUUAGUGGCAGACGGGUGAGUAACGAGUAGGAAUCUACCCUUUGGUGGGGAAUAACUAAUCGAAAGAAUAGUUAAUACCGCAUAACAUCGCAAGAUAAAAGAACGUAACUGUUCGCCGUUGGAGGAGCCUGCUUCCUAUCAGCUAGUUGGUGAGGUAAUAGCUCACCAAGGCUAUGACGGGUAGGGGGUGUGAGAGCACGACCCCCCACAAGGACACUUAGAUACGGGUCCUACACCUACGGGUGGCAGCAACCGGGAAUAUUGCGCAAUGGACGAAAGUCUGACGCAGCGACGCCGCGUGUGGGAUGACGGCCUUCGGGUCGUAAACCACUGUGGAGAGGGAAGAAGUUCUGACGGUACCUCUCUAGAAAGCACCUGCUAACUACGUGCCAGAAGCCUCGGUAAUACGUAGGGUGCAAGCGUUAUCCGGAUUUACUGGGCGUAAAGGGUUCGUAGGCGGUUAAAUAAGUGACGGGUCAAAGCCCCCGGCUCAACUGGGGAAAGGCUCAUCAAACUGUUUAACUAGAGUUGGUUCGGGGAUACUGGAAUUCUCGGUGGAGGAGUGAAACCCGUUGAUAUCGAGAGGAACGCCAAGAGCGAAGGCAGGUAUCUAGGACCACACUGACGCUAAGGAACGAAAGCUAGGGUAGCAAACUGGAUUAGAGACCCAGGUAGUCCUAGCCGUAAACGAUGAACACUAGCUGGUUGGAAAUUUUUAUUUUUGACUGGCGUAAGCUAGCGCGUUAAGUGUUCCGCCUGGGGAGUACGGUCGCAAGGCUAAAACUCAAAGGAAUUGACGGGGAAACGUACAACCGGCGUUCCAUGUGGUUUAAUUCGAUACAAAACGAAGAACCUUACCUAGGUUUGACAUCCCGAGAAAGCCCUCGAAAGAGGGAAGUGCCCUUCGGGGAACUCGGUGACAGGUGCUGCAUGGCUGUCGUCAGCUCGUGUCGUGAGAUGUUGGGUUAAGUCCCGCAACGAGCGCAACCCUUAUCUUUAGUUACCAUCAUUUAGUUGGGGACUCUAAAGAUACUGCCCCGGUUAACGGGGAGGAAGGUGGGGAUGACGACUGGUCCGUAUGGCCCUUAUGCCUAGGGCUACACACAUCCUACAAUGGCUAGUACAACGGGUUGCCAAACCGCAGGGUGGAGCUAAUCCUUUAAAGCUAGUCUCAGUUCGGAUUGGGGUCUGCAAUUCGACCCCAUGAAGCCGGAAUCGCUAGUAAUCGCGGGUCAGCAGACUGCGGUGAAUACGUUCUCGCCUCUUGUACAUACUGCCCGUCAACUAAGGGAAGUCGAGGGCGCCCGAAGCCCCUUCCGUCAAAGGAAGGGUUU
RNAcentral lists this ribosomal RNA (1411 nucleotides) under uncultured Microgenomates group bacterium. RNAcentral's name for it is "bacterial SSU rRNA". It matches the Rfam family "Bacterial small subunit ribosomal RNA". The record is from RNAcentral.